AUACGUAGGGUGCAAGCGUUAAUCGGAAUUACUGGGCGUAAAGCGUGCGCAGGCGGUUUUGUAAGACAGAGGUGAAAUCCCCGGGCUCAACCUGGGAACUGCCUUUGUGACUGCAAAGCUAGAGUACGGCAGAGGGGGAUGGAAUUCCGCGUGGAGCAGUGAAAUGCGUAGAUAUGCGGAGGAACUCCGAUGGCGAAGGCAAUCCCCUGGGCCUGUACUGACGCACAUGCACGAAAGCGUGGGGAGCAAACAGGAUUAGAUACCCUGGUAGUCCACGCCCUAAACGAUGUCAACUGGUUGUUGGGUCUUCAUUGACUCAGUAACGAAGCUAACGCGUGAAGUUGACCGCCUGGGGAGUACGGCCGCAAGGUUAAAACUCAAAGGAAUUGACGGGG
Molecule: ribosomal RNA, 395 nt
Filed under: uncultured bacterium
Lineage: Bacteria
Description: partial 16S ribosomal RNA
Rfam family: Bacterial small subunit ribosomal RNA
Source: RNAcentral